AACUCGUUGUGAGGGCAUGAACAGAUCAUCUCCUUGAACCGCUCCCAAGCUUCCGCAAGUGUCUCAUAAUUCUCUUGCUCAAAUGAGGAGAUCUUCCUCCUUAUGUC
Molecule: non-coding RNA, 107 nt
Organism: Beta vulgaris subsp. vulgaris (sugar beet)
Lineage: Eukaryota; Viridiplantae; Streptophyta; Magnoliopsida; Caryophyllales; Amaranthaceae
Source: Rfam